Molecule: ribosomal RNA, 377 nt
Filed under: uncultured eukaryote
Lineage: Eukaryota
Description: SSU rRNA
Rfam family: Eukaryotic small subunit ribosomal RNA
Source: RNAcentral
AGCUCCAAUAGCGUAUAUUAAAGUUGUUGCAGUUAAAAAGCUCGUAGUUGGAUUUCGGAAUGGGUCAGUUGGUCCGCCUCACGGUGUGUUACUGACUGGUCUGUUCUUCUUCGCAAAGACUGUGUAUUCUCUUCAUUGAGUGUGCUCAGGAUUUACGACGUUUACUUUGAAAAAAUUAGAGUGUUCAAAGCAGGCCUACCGCUUGAAUACAUGAGCAUGGAAUAAUGGAAUAGGACUUUGGUCUUAUUUUGUUGGUUUCUAAGACCGAAGUAAUGAUUAAGAGGGACAGUUGGGGGCAUUAGUAUUUCGUUGUCAGAGGUGAAAUUCUUGGAUUUACGAAAGACUAACAACUGCGAAAGCAUUUGCCAAGAAUGUUU